GCCGUAAGAUUCAAUAUGAUAGAAAAUCUUGAAAAAAAAUUAAUUUUUGGUGUGAACUAAACAAGGCCUAAACAAGCCAUAGAAAGGAAAUCGAUGGAAUCAGAAGAGACAGUGAGCAGUGGAGGACAGGCAGUGAGGGGGAAUCUUGAAAGUGGGCCCUUGUACAUGGCCGAUGUAGAAAAUGGCAUGGAUGAAGAAAAAAAAUAAAAUUAUAAUGGCAA
This 221-nucleotide long non-coding RNA is filed under the name Sorghum bicolor (sorghum). RNAcentral describes it as "long non-coding RNA (SBIC_LNC015027)". Lineage: Eukaryota; Viridiplantae; Streptophyta; Magnoliopsida; Poales; Poaceae. The record is from RNAcentral.